GCAGAUAUGGCGUAAAGGUAUCGCAACGGCUUGCUAAGCCGUCCAACAGGAAUGUUGUAUAGGUUCGAGUCCUAUUGUCUGCG
This 83-nucleotide transfer RNA is filed under the name Caudoviricetes sp. RNAcentral's name for it is "tRNA-Ser". It matches the Rfam family "tRNA". From Rfam's summary of the family: Transfer RNA (tRNA) molecules are approximately 80 nucleotides in length. Their secondary structure includes four short double-helical elements and three loops (D, anti-codon, and T loops). Further hydrogen bonds mediate the characteristic L-shaped molecular structure. tRNAs have two regions of fundamental functional importance: the anti-codon, which is responsible for specific mRNA codon recognition, and the 3' end, to which the tRNAs corresponding amino acid is attached (by aminoacyl-tRNA synthetases). tRNAs cope with the degeneracy of the genetic code in two manners: having more than one tRNA (with a specific anti-codon) for a particular amino acid; and 'wobble' base-pairing, i.e. permitting non-standard base-pairing at the 3rd anti-codon position. Lineage: Duplodnaviria; Heunggongvirae; Uroviricota; Caudoviricetes. The record is from RNAcentral.